RNAcentral lists this ribosomal RNA (253 nucleotides) under uncultured bacterium. RNAcentral describes it as "partial 16S ribosomal RNA". It matches the Rfam family "Bacterial small subunit ribosomal RNA", at positions 524 to 776 of the family's 1533-position model. The record is from RNAcentral.
UACGGGGGGGGUAAGCGUUGUUCGGAAUUACUGGGCGUAAAGGGCUCGUAGGCGGCCAACUAAGUCAUACGUGAAAUCCCUCAGCUUAACUGGGGAACUGCGUGUGAUACUGGAUGGCUUGGAUUUGGGAGAGGGAUGCGGAAUUCCAGGUGUAGCGGUGCAAUGCGUAGAUAUCUGGAGGAACACCGGUGGCGAAGGCGGCAUCCUGGACCAAUAUUGACGCUGAGGAGCGAAAGCCAGGGGAGCAAACGGG